RNAcentral lists this ribosomal RNA (497 nucleotides) under uncultured bacterium. Its description in RNAcentral is "partial 16S ribosomal RNA". It matches the Rfam family "Bacterial small subunit ribosomal RNA", at positions 28 to 507 of the family's 1533-position model. The record is from RNAcentral.
GAUGAACGCUGGCGGCGUGCCUAAUACAUGCAAGUCGAGCGAACGGGCGAGAAGCUUGCUUCUCUGAUGUUAGCGGCGGACGGGUGAGUAACACGUGGAUAACCUACCUAUAAGACUGGGAUAACUUCGGGAAACCGGAGCUAAUACCGGAUGAUAUUUUGAACCGCAUGGUUCAAAAGUGAAAGACGGUCUUGCUGUCACUUAUAGAUGGAUCCGCGCUGCAUUAGCUAGUUGGUAAGGUAACGGCUUACCAAGGCAACGAUGCAUAGCCGACCUGAGAGGGUGAUCGGCCACACUGGAACUGAGACACGGUCCAGACUCCUACGGGAGGCAGCAGUAGGGAAUCUUCCGCAAUGGGCGAAAGCCUGACGGAGCAACGCCGCGUGAGUGAUGAAGGUCUUCGGAUCGUAAAACUCUGUUAUUAGGGAGGAACAUAUGUGUAAGUAACUGUGCACAUCUUGACGGUACCUAAUCAGAAAGCCACGGCUAACUACGUG